Molecule: ribosomal RNA, 460 nt
Filed under: uncultured bacterium
Lineage: Bacteria
Description: partial 16S ribosomal RNA
Rfam family: Bacterial small subunit ribosomal RNA
Source: RNAcentral
CCUACGGGUGGCAGCAGUGAGGAAUAUUGGUCAAUGGACGAGAGUCUGAACCAGCCAAGUAGCGUGAAGGAUGACUGCCCUAUGGGUUGUAAACUUCUUUUAUAAGGGAAUAAAACGAGCCACGUGUGCCUUUUUGUAUGUACUUUAUGAAUAAGGAUCGGCUAACUCCGUGCCAGCAGCCGCGGUAAUACGGAGGAUCCGAGCGUUAUCCGGAUUUAUUGGGUUUAAAGGGAGCGUAGGUGGGUUGUUAAGUCAGUUGUGAAAGUUUGCGGCUCAACCGUAAAAUUGCAAUUGAGACUGGCAGUCUUGAGUACAGUUGAGGUAGGCGGAAUUCGUGGUGUAGCGGUGAAAUGCGUAGAUAUCACGAAGAACCCCGAUUGCGAAGGCAGCUUACUAGACUGUGACUGACACUGAUGCUCGAAAGUGUGGGUAUCAAACAGGAUUAGAUACCCGUGUAGUC